Molecule: ribosomal RNA, 253 nt
Filed under: uncultured bacterium
Lineage: Bacteria
Description: partial 16S ribosomal RNA
Rfam family: Bacterial small subunit ribosomal RNA
Source: RNAcentral
UACGGAGGGUGCGAGCGUUAAUCGGAAUAACUGGGCGUAAAGGGCACGCAGGCGGGCUUUUAAGUGAGAUGUGAAAUCCCCGGGCUUAACCUGGGAAUUGCAUUUCAAACUGGGUGUCUAGAGUACUGUAGGGAGGGGUAGAAUUCCAUGUGUAGCGGUGAAAUGCGUAGAGAUGUGGAGGAAUACCGAAGGCGAAGGCAGCCCCUUGGGAAUGUACUGACGCUCAGGUGCGAAAGCGUGGGGAGCAAACAGG